This 337-nucleotide long non-coding RNA is filed under the name Ursus americanus (American black bear). RNAcentral describes it as "lncRNA (ENSUAMG00000013777.1)". Lineage: Eukaryota; Metazoa; Chordata; Mammalia; Carnivora; Ursidae. The record is from RNAcentral.
CAAAAAGAUCAAACUUGGAACUCUUCUUUCUGAGGAACAGCAAAAACAAAAAAUAAAUUGAGAAGACAUCUGUAGAACCCCAAUAAUCUGCCCAAAUUAGAAGAGUUGAGAACUGGACAUGCAGGAGGCCACAGGCCGAUAAAGGGGGAUGACUUCAGCAAUACAGUUUUACUGGGACAACGGACAGCUUCAGAUGAAGAGGGAAGUGACUUUGUCCUUUUGCUUGUUAAGGUCUUCUUCCUCCGAAGUGUUGUCUGGAAAACUCAUCUACUGUCGUGUCCGUGUGGAGCAGCUUACUGACCCCAGGCUUAAACCACCCUUCUGCUUGAGUUCUUGA